UUAGUCUCAUGAUCAGACACA
Molecule: microRNA, 21 nt
Filed under: Homo sapiens (human)
Lineage: Eukaryota; Metazoa; Chordata; Mammalia; Primates; Hominidae
Description: hsa-miR-4474-5p
Source: miRBase by way of RNAcentral